GUGGCUCACAUCUGUAAUCCCAGCACUUUGGGAGGUUGAGACACAAGAAUGGUUUGAACUGGCGAGGUGGAGGUUGCAGUGAGCUGAGAUUGUGCCACUGCACUCCACCCUGGGUGACAGAAUGAGACUCUGUCUAAAAAGAAAAAAAAAAAAACAAUUUAUAUAUAGCAGUACAUAUUAGAAUAUCACAAUAAGAUAAGAAAUGUGGAAAUGUUUAGGCUCAUUCUUUAUAUACAUAGGAUUGACUUAUUUGGUGAUCCUUAUGAUUGACUUAUUUGUUUAGAGGGAGGACUGAGUGAGUGCUGAGUGGAGGAUGAUUUGUGUUUAAUGAGAGAGAGAACAGAGAGACAGCAGGGAGAGGAAGAGAGAGAGUGUGUGUGUGUGUCUGUGUGUG
Molecule: long non-coding RNA, 394 nt
Organism: Sapajus apella (tufted capuchin)
Lineage: Eukaryota; Metazoa; Chordata; Mammalia; Primates; Cebidae
Exons: 2
Source: RefSeq, a predicted model, not a curated record